UUAAUUGUAACAAAAUUGGACAUUUCGCCCGGGAGUGUAACACCCCACGAAAAAAUCGUCAACAUUUUGUAAUUUAACUGUGGGGAAGUCAGAGGCGACAAUCGAGUAAAGAAAGGGAACUGAGGGAAAACUUUGGGCGUUUAAAUUUGGGCUAUUUUCUGUUGUCUAGAUGUCGGAGUAACAAAUAAAGAUAACUGUGAAAAUAGGUAUAUUUGCGGAGAGUCUCAGUCAAAUUCAUAGCGGCUAUUAUAGUGGCGAGCGCAACAGUCUCGCCAACGGUAAUCCACGGUUCGGUUCCCGGCCGAGGCGUUUUAACUAAAAUUGAUUUUUAGAUCGUAAUUGACCUAUUUGCAUGUUUUGCCUGAAAAAUACGGUCGCCAGUGUUUGCAAAAGAUAUAACUGAACGGAUAUUAUGUGUUCUAGAUAGAAUUGAUAAAAGAAGUCAUUAAAAAUAAUGGCGAGACAAUUUCGACGUAAAACGCUAUUUCGCCCAAAAUGAUCUGGUGGAAGAAUGUAUUGAGAUGGGAGUCGUAUUUAAAUAAAUGUAUCAUAGAAGAGAGAGUUACCUAAAGUUAAAUGUAGGGGAUAACGGAGAGAUACGAUACAAUUUCGGGCUAUCUGGACGUUAUAGCAUGGGGCGUUUAAAUGUUAGGGUAUAGUAAGUUGAGAAGUUCGGUUGGGUUUACUCUGAUGAUUAGAAUUGAAAACUGAACUCAAUCUGAAUAGGGAAUAUAUAUUUUACAAAGGCAGGCAGAGUUGUGGCUAUAGCCAGCAACGGAAUUGCUAGACACUCAAUGGGGCUAUAUAGUGCAACGCUUUGGACUAUAAAUUAGGUAAGAAUAGUUUAAUCGUAAGAAGUUGUGAUUGUUUUUCUGAUUAUUGAUUUUUGGUUAAGGUAACGCCAGUGAAUUUGAACAAAAAGUAACGUAUUCUAAAAACGAUCUGUUUUCCGUUCUCAUUGUGGGUAACAAAUGAAAAGUCUUAUCUUAAAGGGACAGUGCACGGUAAUCACAGUGGUUUGAGUGUAUGACAGUGGAAAAAAUAUUGUGGGACGACAAUUCGAAGAUAGAAAAAUAAGUUACAUGAUACCUCAAGGGAUUUAAAACAAACGAUGUGAGGGGAUUAUCAUAAUUAUUAGGUUUUGUUUUUGUAGUAAACGUUUGGGUUAAGGGGAUUUCCACGUUCCCAGAGACAAGGCAUUUUUAAGGCGUGCACUCACUAAUGCUAGUCUGAGUUUGUAAUUAGACAAGUGAAUAACGUAUUGGGAAUAGAGUUGUAAUUAAAAUACUAAGUCAAAGACGAGACAGGUAUUUAGAGCAAAAUGGAUUCUAAAUGAUAACAAAGAGACAAUUAUGAUUUAUGCCCAUCGAAAAGCUUUUAUAAAAUUGGCGAAUUUAGAGAUGUUGUUUGGGGUGGUAAAUUAUAAUUCAGGAUUUGAACAGAUGUGAUAAAUUAGGUUUGGUUAAUCGAACAAUAAUUAUUUACAAUUCAUUUGAAGUCGCUACGAAUUGGCAGGUUGAGCGCUUGAUGAUGACGUCACUAGCGAGACACUUUUGUUACCAGGGACUGGGGAUAACGGAGCAAAAUGUAUGGCUGUUAGUGUGUGUAUCGGGGUUUCGAGUAACUCUUAAGAAUUUGAUAUAAAAAUGUUUUGGUUAUUUGUUUACUGGUUAUGGUCAAUUUUAGGGGUUGAUUAAACUUGAACAGUGUGUUCUGGCGGUUUUAGAUAGAACUCUUUGUUCCGGAACGGAUGAGAGUUACCCAAGAUAAGUAAAUUAAAGGAGCCAUGAGAGAAUGCGAAUGCAUAUUUAUUAAAUAUCGGGGAUUAAAUUACGGAUUCCUUACACUAUGAAAUGUACGACAUUCGCGGCAGAGAGAAAAAGUAAUGCAUUGGAUAAUAAUGUUAUAGGGUUAAUUGUAUCUAAAGGUAGCAUGGUAAUUUAAGUAAACAUAUCCGUAGACGAUGUUUAAAACUUAUGAUUAAUGAUUUGAGUCAAAGGGGAAUUAUCAUUAGGUUUUAGUAGUUCACUUAUUGAGUUUCUGAUUCGAGGUAGCAUUAGUGAAUGAUAGUUAGGGGUGUGGUGUCUCACUUUUAGAGGCCUCCUGGGAUUAUAAUUUUGGGGAGAGUGGGGGAGAGAGCAGCUUUAAACGACCAAAUUGAAAAAGGGUCUGCAAAUUAUAUAUAUAUAAAACAACUGUUAGAACGAUUUGUUUUAGUGCAAGGAGAUUUUAAAGAGGCACGCUCACAUAUGGAACCUUAUGAGAUGUUUUUUUAUGGGUUUGAAUUAUACAGGUGACUAUUUCUAUUGUAAGGAUAAAGGGAUCUUUAUGUCUAAUAUGGUAUGGCCUUUUGACCUUAUCAUGACUGGCUUCUGAGGUCCGAUCAGCCUCAGGGGAGAGUCAUUUGUAUAAUGAAUGGAGUCAUAUUGAGUUACUAGUUUUAAGGUAAAUUCAUUAGAAAUGAAGCAGUUUUGGUUGAGGGUUUAGAAUUACUGUUUGAACCGCAAAUGAGAAAGUGGUUCAGGAUUCUGUCUUAUAACAUUAGCUGUGAAGUUUUUUUGAAUGGGCUAUUAGGGAGUUGGUAUUGUAACAGAGAGAAAGUCAUAUUCAUCAUUGAGAAUAAAUAGGGGAAGAUAACAUAUUUUGAGCCAACAGGGCAGGGAAGAAAUUGAGGUCAUUUUAUUUGAUUUUAACACCCGUGUACAGGAGUGUCAAAAGACUGGGGACAUUACCUGUGUAAUGGGGGAGGGUGUCCGUAUGGGGAUUACAUGAUAACCAACUUGGGACAGUUCUGGGACUGGAGAAGAGGAUAUCCUUAUGGCAUAGGGAAUCCCACAAAGGUGGAUAGGUUUUCCAUGAUAUGGGGGAAACCUGGGAGCACUGUUGAACUUUGUAAAGGUGAUGAAAUCCUACUAACCAUCAAAACUAUUAAGCUCUCUGAUGCAGGCACUUACACCCCCGGACUACAAAGGACCGGGACAAACACGGUGGGUGUGUUUUCUAUUAAGGUACUGCCAAAGCCAGAGGUCUCAGACGAACCAGAGGGCCAGACACACUCCUCUACCACCCCUGGACCGAACCUGCCACCACUGUGUUAAAAAUCUCAUUCAGGUAAUUAAUGUUAGACUAUUCAGCUAUUGAUCAAUUAGGCACGGAGACUGGUUUUGAUGGUAGGACAAAUUGUGGCUGUCUUAUACAGAAUAGACUUGCUUAGGAUAUGCUUCUUGCUAGUCAGGGGGGAGUCUGCAAGAUGUUCGGUGAACAAUGUUGUACGUAUAUCCCUAAUAACACCAGUCCAGAUGGUAGUAUAUCUAAGGGCCUUAAUGGGCUUGAUGCACUAUCUGCUGAGAUGAGGACCAUGGCGGGGGUAGAGGAGUCUGACUGUCCACCUGGUUGGGAGCCUGGUUUGGUAAGUAUACUGGUAUGGUGGUUACUGGAUUUCUGACCCUAAUUCUUGUAUUAUUUGUUAUUGAUGUGAUGUGCUGCUUGCAUCAUACCGUGUUUUAAGAAGUCUGUUACAGAUGUGGUGAAGGCUUCAGGCAUGAUGCCUUUGCUUGAUGCUCCAGUUGGAGAGGCUGAGGUGAAGAGUGCUUUCAGGGGAGGAUAAGACUGACUGAGGAUGACCCAUGUAUGUUUGUUCUCCCUGUCGUGAAGGGUGGCAUGGUGCCCACCUGGUGCCGGAUAAGAAUAGCUGAGAGGACCAGAUGGGUUAUAAGAAUGCUUUGUUCUGCUUUACUCUGUUUUCCAGGACCAAAGUUUUAUUCCACACUUUGCAAACACAUAUUAAAUACAUGUUAUUGUCAGAUAGAAUACUGAGGGUCCCCAAGGAGAGGGCUUGUUAGUGUAGGAAGGAUUUUUAAUAUGGUUAGCAUUUAUUAGAUUAUAAGUUUUUAAAUAGUAGUAUAUAUAUAACAGGAAUAUAGGACAUCUAUGAUGAUUUAGGAUUAUUGUUAGGAUUAAGAUAGAUUGAUUAAGGACUUUAGAGAAAAGCCGCUCAUAGACAUGUUCUUUCUAAAAGAAAAUCCAUGAGUUUAGAAAGACAAACAGUGAGGCAUGUAGUUCAAAUUUGGGAAUGUGAAAAACAGCCACGGGCAGGCAGAAGAGCCCUCCCCCGCACUGCAGAGACCUUGAAGGUUGGAGAGCAGAGAAGUUUUAGAAGGGGGGCCAGAACGAGCAAAGAUAACAUAGUGUAUAGAUAAGUUACUGAGUGGAGACAAAAGUGAGAAUUGGACAUGUGGAAAAUGAAAGGGACACUCCUAAAUUGAUUUCAGACAUAAGGAUAAUUCAUUAAAUCUUAUAUAAGUCAUUGUAUAAGAAUAAGGCAAGGUUGUUACCUGGGCAGAGCCAGGUAACAAAAGGGGGAUGGGUAAAUAGUGUUCUAGAAUAGGAUGUGACCUACGGGAUAAUUAACUAAAUUUUUUUUUUUAGCUAAUUGGUUUGACGAAUAAGAAACUGUUUUAUUAACCAAACCUGUAUGUACAAGAGUUUAUGCACUACAGGUGAACUACAGGUGAAGACACUCAAUCCAGUCCCGUGGGCCACCCGGAUUCAUAUCGCACUGCGGGGGGGACUCUGGAGAGAUCAAUGACACUACAGAUGGUGCGUUAUGGGCCGAUUCCAGGUUCUGACCCGUGGAGGACUGAAGGCAUGUCUACAGAGGAAGUGGACGAAUCUGGAUCUGUCAUUUGUGGGGAAUUUAUGUUUGAUGAGAAUAGUGUUGAGAUGAAGGGGAAUUAGAUUGUAAUUUGUUUCAAUGAUUAAACUGAUUUUUAAUAAAGGUUGUAAAAAGAAAAAAAAAUCCUGAAAGAGGAGUUAUGAUUCUGAUGUAGGUUUAAAAACAGUUGGAGUUAAGGUUAGAUUUGAUUAAUGAUGGGUGAAGAGUCGGGUAAACAUUUAUAAUAAUAUAUUUGUUUUGUAGAUUUGAAUGUAUAAUAUUUGAUCAAAGGGAGGAUUGAUAGAGGAAAAUAUGGUUGAAAUGACUAAUUAUGUAUACAUUCCAAUCAGAAACUGACUAGUCCAAAUGCUAUAAUGUAAUGUACAUGUGAGUUUUCUCUCUUGCUCCCUUUCCCAAUUGUAUAUAAUGUAGUCAGGAGUUAGUAACAAUGAAGGUCUGUUCCUUAGUUCAUUCAGUUGUACAAAUCUCCAGGUGGUGGGAACGGGCCAUCUCCAGAUUGUCGGGAAUGUUGAUUUAUGCUGACUGGCCUUGACUUCGUGCUGAUAACGCGAAGGUUCGAGAGCUAGAGGGGCCCUCUGUUUGUGAAAUGGAACGUUUGGAAAACGCUGACGUCAUUUUCAGUUUAUAACCUGUGGAAAUGUGUGUAAGCAUUCAGUACUCUCUUGUAAUAAACGCUGUUACUUUUGGCUUUUAA
Molecule: long non-coding RNA, 5369 nt
Organism: Oncorhynchus nerka (sockeye salmon)
Lineage: Eukaryota; Metazoa; Chordata; Actinopteri; Salmoniformes; Salmonidae
Exons: 2
Source: RefSeq, a predicted model, not a curated record